AAAUGCGCUAAGUAGUGUGAAUUGCAGAAUUCAGUGAAUCAUCGAAUCUUUGAACGCACAUUGCGCCCUUUGGUAUUCCUUAGGGCAUGCCUGUUCGAGCGUCAUCUAAACCUUCAAGCCCUGCUUGGUGUUGGGUGCCUGUCCCGCCUCCGCGCGCGGACUCACCUCAAAUCCAUUGGCGGCCCCCGCGUCGGCCACGAGCGCAGCAGAAACGCGAACUCGUGAGCCCGUCCGGGCGGCUCCCAGAAGCUACACCCACCCAGUUUGACCUCGGAUCAGGUAGGGAUACCCGCUGAACUUAAGC
This 304-nucleotide unclassified non-coding RNA is filed under the name plant metagenome. Its description in RNAcentral is "partial contains 5.8S ribosomal RNA, internal transcribed spacer 2, and large subunit ribosomal RNA". The stretch from base 1 to 104 matches the Rfam family "5.8S ribosomal RNA", at positions 51 to 154 of the family's 154-position model. The record is from RNAcentral.